GCCUAAGCCUAAGCCUAAGCCUAAGUCUAAGCCUAAGCCUAGGCCUAGGCCUAAGCCUAAGCCUAAGCAU
Non-coding RNA from Caenorhabditis elegans, 70 nucleotides. NCBI's taxonomy places the organism in Eukaryota, Metazoa, Nematoda, Chromadorea, Rhabditida, Rhabditidae. The record is from Ensembl.